This 7199-nucleotide long non-coding RNA is filed under the name Eutrema salsugineum. Its description in RNAcentral is "long non-coding RNA (ESAL_LNC001965)". The record is from RNAcentral. Lineage: Eukaryota; Viridiplantae; Streptophyta; Magnoliopsida; Brassicales; Brassicaceae.
UUGCAGAUGUCGCACACGCGUUCGUUCUGGCGCGUGGACUGCUUUUGACGGAAGAGGCUGAGCUCGUGCUGGGGAUGAGUGAAGUUUUGGAGGGUGAAGGGACACGUGGCGCAGUAUUCGUGGAGAUCGUAGUCGCAUGUUUCGCAUCGAUAGGUUUUGUCUGAGCCGUAGGUUUCGCAGCCGUCGCAGAUGAAGUCACGGGCGAUGUUCGUUUCCAUUAGUGGAUGGUUGUGCGUGAAAUGCUGAACGACGCGAUGUUUUGGAGCCAUCUUUACCGUUUUUGGUGUGUGUGUGUGUGUGUGUGUUCUUUUUUUAGAAUGGUUAGGAUUUGAGAGAAGAAACGGUGGUAUAUAUAAGAACGAAUACUUUUUGAGACGAAUCCAAACAUUGUUUCGGACAUAACUAAGAACUUUCGAUUACUCGUGCUUACAAAAGAGAACACUUUUGUUGACUUGUCCAGCUAAGGUUAACAUGCUCUAGAAAUGUGUGGUAGAGUAACUCAGUUGACUGACUAUGUAUGCCUUAACGGUCAAUGUGGCCUCUUCCUCAUAAUCACAUGCAUAUCCACAUUUCAUUGUCUUGAUGAUCACGGACUGCGCUUCAAUAUUCACAAGUAGAAUAUGGACUGGCUUAAAGUGAAAUGUUAAUCUCAAAAGUAAAAAAUUUUUAUACAAACUUAAAACUAUCAACUAAAAGACGACAAAUAAAACCUAUCAGUUAAAAAAUAUGUUAAGAGAUUAAUGUUUUAUGUAUGGAAUUGAUUUCUUAGUUUAGUUGUUGUGUUUUUUUCUGUUCCAGUUAAAGAUUUUUAUUUUGUCUAUAUAUCUUGUAGAAGUUUGAAAUAGUUCUGUUUGGUGAACUGGGGGUAAUUCUAUAGCUAGUGCGCACAGGCUGAGAGAAUUUGUAUAUUUUUUUAUUAAUGGUUUCUAAAUAGAAACUUAUAAAAGGUUUACUAAAACAUAUAAACAUUCCAAAGAAUUUCCAUUAAACACUUCAAAAAGUUAUUUGGACGCAAAUUAAAGAAAGGUGUGGCAUAUACCACAUACUUCUUUUUAGUAAUUUAAGUUCAUGAAUAUCAUUCAGCCAAACAUAAAAAUAAAAGAGAUGUGCCUCAACUCAAUUAAGAACAAAAGAAAGUUCUCCAGCCUAAAUCAUUUUUAAUGAACUUAAUAACUUUUCUAAAACCCUAUUUUGUUGACUCAAUAUUUUCUCCUAAUUGGUUGUCUAUAACAAUUUUUAUACUGUGGCUGAGCUAAUAAUUUGUUCGUUAAGAGCAAUUCUACUUCUUCUUCGAAAAGAUCUAUGACAUUAGACUCUUUUUUUGAUGCUAUUGUUACUAUAUUUUUCGAUAAAUUAUUUUAUUACAUACAAAAGAAUGUGUGUUUCGUAUUAAAUAAAUUUCUGGAUCCGCUCUGCUGUGUACCCCAUUUUAUUUGGACAUGCAUGUGGAAUAAGGUAGUUGUAAGGCCAAGAGAAAAGCCUUAAAAACACACGUACGAAUCCAACGGAAUACGUAGAUUCUCGGAAAUGUAGACCGAAAUGGUGAAUUCAUAAAAAUAAAUAAUUAAAAAGAGAAAAAUGGAAAUUGUGGAAAUUAAUAGUCCAACCAAAAGCUGUACCAAAACAUCCAAUGUAGUAAAUAGUUUGAAACAUCAAAAGAAAUCAAAAUAAAAUGAUGAGGAAAUUAUGGAGAUCAAAUAGAUGAGCAAAGAUAGACGAGUAGAUGAGCAAAAAUAUUUUAAAGUUGAAUGAGGUAUAAAUAUUGAUACUACUUGCCAGAGAAGUGGUUCAUAUGGGGCGCUAUUGAGAUAAUGAUGUAGAGAAUCUUAGUUUAUCUAGAUUUACCAUUAUCUUUAGUUCCCAUUUCUAUUCGGUUAAUGUUUUGCGUACUUGUAUAAACACUCUCUAGUUUGUGAAUUAAUAUACAACCAACUUUUUUAUACAAUUUAGUUUGGGAGCGGAGAAGGAAAACAAUUACCCUUCAGUAUCUUUCUUUCUUACAAAUUUGGAAUUUAUCACCCAUCUUUUUUUAUUCAAGAUCAUUUUCCAACGAAUUCGGUUAGUAUGAUCGUGAAUCUCUUUUGGACAAUCCCAAAUUGAUCCGAUGACACCGUAAGUUAUGUGGUUUAUUUGAAAAAAAACAAAUCCUAAUGGUCUUUUAAGGUACUUUUUAAUUUAAUUUAUUGUUCAAAACGAAAAAGAAAACAAACAUCACGAAUAUAUAAUGGCAGGAUGUUAAUUUCAAAAGCUGCCGCUAUUUAAGGGCUUCGGAGAUCGGUCCAGCGAUGAGAUUGCAAACAACCCCAACCGUUAGAGCCUUCAAAACCCUAAACAUUCUUCUUCCUAUACUUGGACGACGCGACGCCAAUGACGAUGAUUGUCCUCCCUGUGCCUUAAGCCCUCUGCUUUUAGUACCCGAUUCAUCGGUCUGGUUAGAAGGUGACGUGUUGCACACGGCUAAGAUACACUCAAUAUGAAUAUCGAACUUGCAGAGCUCACACCUAUACCUCCAAGAUUGGCACGAGCCUUGACAAACCAUACACGUGCUCUCUCCACCGAGGCGAAACUCCAAGUGAUGAGCAGGGUGAAGCACGUGCCUCACGUGCUGCGGCAGCUGCGUGCAGAGCGGAUGUACGUCGAACUCACAUAGCUUGCAUCUGUAGAACAAACCCUCGACGGACUCGUUGCAGAUGUCGCACACGCGUUCGUUCUGGCGCGUGGACUGCUUUUGACGGAAGAGGCUGAUCUCGUGCUGGGGAUGAGUGAAGUUUUGGAGGGUGAAGGGACACGUGGCGCAGUAUUCGUGGAGAUCGUAGUUGCAUGGCUCGCAUCUAUAGGUUUUGUCUGAGCCGUAGGUUUUGCAGCCGUCGCAGAUAAAGUCACAUGCGAUGUUCAACUCCGUUAGUGGAUGAUUGUGCGUGAAAUGCUGAACGGCGCGCGGUUUUGGUGUCUUUGAAGCCAUCUUUAGCGUUUUUGGUGUGUGUGUGUGUGUUUUUUUAAAAAAAGGUUCGGAUUUGAGAAAAUAAACGGUGGUAUAAGAACGAAUACUUUUGAGAUGAUUCCAAAUAUUGUUUCGGAAAUAAAUAAGAACUUUCGCUAGACUGGUUACAAAAGACUGAAAGAUAGUACUUUUGUUGACUUGUCUAGAUAAGGUUAACGUGCUCUAGAAAUGUGUGGUACCGUAAUUUAGUUGACUGACUAUGUAUGACUUAACGAUCAAUAUUGUGGCCUCUUCCUCAUAAUCACAUAUCAACAUUUCAUUGUCUUCAUGAUAAAGGACUGCGCUCCAAUUUUCACAGUAGAAAAUGGACUGGAUUACAGUGAAAUGUUAAACUCAAAAGUAAAAUAUUUUUAUUCAAAAUUAGAACUAUCAUUUAAAAGACGAUAAAUAAAACAUAUCAGUCAAAAAAUAUGUUAAGAGAUUAAUGUUUUAUGUAUGGAAUUGAUUUCUUAGUUUAGUUGUAGUGUUUUUUUUUUUUUACUUCCAAUUAAAGAUUUUUAUUAUGUCUAUAUGUCUUGUAGAUGUUUGAAAUAGGUCUAUUUGGUGGACUGUGGGGAACUCUAGUUCGCACAGGCUGAGAUCUAUGAUGGUAUAGACUUUUUUUUAAUGCUAGUGUUACUAUAUUUUUCGAUAAAUUAUUUUAUUACUUACACAACAAAAAAUGUUUGUUCCAGAUUAAAUAAAUUUCUGAAUCCGCUCGUGUACCCAUUUUGUUUGGACAUGCAUGUGGAACAAGGUGGUCGUAAGGCCAAGAGAAAAGCCUUGCAUACACGUACGAGUCCAACGGAAUACGAAGAUUCUCGGAAAUGUAGACCGAAGUGGUGGAAAUAGUCCAACCAAAACUGUUCCAAAACAUCCAAUAGUAAAUAGUUUGAAACAUCAAAAGAAAAAUGAUACGAAAUUAUGGAGAUCAAAUAGACUUGCCAGAGAUGUGGUCCAUGUGGAGUUAUUGAGAUAAUGAUGUGCAGAAGAGUCUUAGUCCAUUAUCUUUAGUACCAAUUUCUUCUAUUGGGUUUAUAUUUACGUACUUGUAUAAACAUUCUAGUUUAUGAAUUAAUAGAAUCAACUUUUUUAUCCAAUUUAGUUUGGAAGCGGAGGAAACAAUUACCCUGAGUAUCUUUCUUUCUUACAAAUUUGGAAUUUAUCACCGAUCAUGUUGAUUCAAAAUAAUUUUCCAACGAAUUCGGUUAAUACGAACGUGGAUCAUCUCUUUUGAACAAUUCCAAAUAAAUAAAAUCCGAUGACACUGUAAAUUAGGUGGUUUAUCUGGAAAAAAUAAAUAAAGUAAAAAUGGUAUUUUUCAGGGUGCUCAACCGGAGUCGCCUUAAUAUGGUAACACGUACUUUUUAAAAUUUUCUAAAUUUAUUGUAUAAAAAGAAAAAGAAAUCAAACAUAUAUAACGAAAAAGAAAGCAAACAUAACGAAAAAAAAAAACGAAAAAGAAAACAAACAUAACGAAUAGAGAAACAAGACAUAGCAUGGCAGGAAGUUAAUGUUAGAGACGUGCCAUUUCAAAAGCCGCCGCUAAAGGCUUCGGAGACCGGUGCAGCGAUGAUAUUGCAAACAACACCAACCGUUAGAGCCAUCAAAACGCCAAACAUUCUUCUUCCUAUACUUGGACGCGACUCUUGAACAUGACCUUGAUGAUUUGUAUAUCCGUGAUUGUAAUAAGGCUGGUAAUACUGAGAAGGGUGAUAAUACGGUUGUGACCCAUCAUAACACCUCUCCUGAAACGUCGUCGCUGCGACUGAUGAUGCUGACGAAUUAACGCAUUCCAUGUGAACAUCUAACCGGCAUGGACCACACUUGUACCGCCAAGACCGGAUUGCCCCGUGGCAAACCAUGCACGCGCUGCUUGCUCCCCAAUGACUCAGGUCUAAGAGAUGGGCCUGAUGGGGCACGUGCCUCACGUGCUGAGGCAGCCACGUGCAGAGUGGAUGGACGUCGAAGCCGCAAGGCUCGCAUUGGUAAAAGAGCCCUUCGGCUGAUUCGUCGCAGAUGUCGCACAUACGUUUGUCAUGGUGCGUCUGCUCUGGUCCUCUAAAGACUAGUCGUAGCUCGUGUUGUGGAUGCAUGAAGCUGAGGAGGGUAGGGGGACACGUAGCGCAGUGAUCGUGGAGAUUGUAGUCGCACCAGGAGCAACGGUAGGUCUUCCCAAAACCGUAGGUUUUGCAGCCAUUGCAUGUGAACUCGCCAUAUCCAUCAAACUUUGUUAAUGGAUGCAUAUGGGUGAAAUGUUGGACUACGUGACUUGACGAAGACAUUUCGUGGUUCUUAUUUGUUUGUUCUUGAGAACGGUUAAGAUUUGAGAGAAUGAGUGGGGUGGUUUAAAAAGAACUAGUUUUUAGAACCAUUCUCAAACAAACUUUUUUUGGCAACUUGACUACUUGAGUUAAAACUUUGGUUUAGAGUCUUUAGACCAUCAAACAAAUAAUAGUUUCUGUAUAGCUGUCCUUACAAAAAUAUUAGCUUUCGUUCACUUGUACGCCAAAAACAAUAACUUUAACUUGGUCUUUAGAAAUUUUGAGAACGUGGUGAAGUAGUGUAGUUGACUUUGGCUAGUUGACUGAAUUUGGCCUCUUUUGAUUCGCGUCACAAUUUCUUUUUUUUUUUCAUUUUUUUUAAAACGUAUGAGUUUUUUAGUCGAUUUUCACAAAUAAAUCUACACAAUAAAUAUUCAUUUCUUUCGAAUAUUUUCCAAUGGUCGAAGAACAUGAUAUAUCAAGAAAUAAUUUCCCUUUGUUAUUGAGUCAGAUUGGAUGUAAACCAUAGCUUAAUCUGUUGUUUGAGAAUCAGAUUUUUACUCCAUGGUUAUUCCUCCCACGAUGUAUACUCCAUGUGCUUGUAUUUUGUAAGUUAUGAUCGCACCUCAUUCCAAGAACCUGAAAGCAUCAUGACAUGCCUUGGAUUGGGUAGCCUUAUCAACCCAUGAUUAACGUUUUAUCGCCUCUUGACUUUUUUUUAUACGUUCAAAUGAAUGGAUUUUUUCUACUAUCCAAACAACAUAAUUAUUACAAAAAUAUAUAUCUAAAUUGUAAUGUUUUUCUAUUUAAAUGAUAUAUAGUUGAUAAAUGAUUGUUUUCGAUCUUUCCUAGUAUCUAUUCGGAAGAACAAAUUGGUGAUUAUUUAUUACAGUUAACAUAAUUUUCAGUGUUGUGAUUUUAUUUUACACAACUGUGUAGCAAAAAAAGGAAAAGUAGAGAACCUGAUACAAACUGAUUUGCAUAAAGUUUGAGACUUUGAGUGGUUACUUUGGCCAGAAUGAUUUUUAUUUGUUGAAAAAGUUUCUGCAUUUUUGGCACAAAAUAUUAAAAUACAAAAAAAAAACAACAAAAUAAUACAUGUUUGCGUUUUCUUUGUAAAAAUUCAAAACUCACGCAAAAAGACUUUCAACGGAAAGCCCAAACAGUACAUUAGAAACCACCCCAAUUGUUAGCUUCGACGCAACGGUAAACAUUCUCCAGCCCUUACCCGGAUUCGGCUUUUGACCCGCUCCGGCCACUGGUACUUGGCCCUGGUCAUAUCGAACCCGUUCAUGUAACUAAAGUUAUUAGGGUUAGAGAUGAUAAGGCUGUGACCAUACGCAUAAGGGUAACCAAAAGCCGGUUGUUGACCCAUCGGUCCAUAACCAUAAGGGUAACCAACAUGCGGUUGUUGCCACGACGCCGAUGAAGAUGGUUGUCCUCCAUGUGCCUUGAGCCCUCUGCUUUUAAUACCCGAUUCAUCUGUCGGGUCAGAAGGUGACGUGUUACACACGGCUAAGAUACACUCCAUAUGAAUAUCAAACCUACAUAGCUCACACCUAUAUCUCCAAGACUGGCACGGGCCACGACAAACCAUACACGCGCUUGCUCCACCGAGGCGAAACUCCAAGUGAUGAGCAGGGUGAAGCACGUGCCUCACGUGCUGAGGCAGCUGCGUGCAGAGCGGGUGUACGUCGAACUCACAUAGCUUGCAUCUGUAGAACAAACCCUCGACAGACUCGUUGCAGAUGUCGCACGCGCGUUCGUUUUGGCGCGUGGACUGUUGUUUACGGACGACGAGGCUGAGCUCGUGCUGGGGAUGAAUGAAGGUCGGGAGGGUGAGUGGACACGUGGCACAGUAUUCGUGGAGAUCGUAGUUGCAUGGUUCGCAUCGAUAGGUUUUGCCUGAGCCGUAGGUUUUGCAGCCGUCGCAGUUGAAGUCACCGACGCUGUUA